CCUACGGGUGGCAGCAGUGGGGAAUAUUGCACAAUGGGGGAAACCCUGAUGCAGCAACGCCGCGUGAAGGAAGACGGUUUUCGGAUUGUAAACUGCUGUUCGUAGUGAAGAAGAAUGAAGGGAGCGAAGGAGCAAGCCACGGCUAACUACGUGCCAGCAGCCGCGGUAAUAAGGAGGGGGCAAGCGUUGUCCGGAAUUACUGGGUGUAAAGGGAGCGCAGGCGGGAAGCCAAGUCAGCGGUGCAAACUACGGGCUUAACUUGUUGACUGCAGUUGAAACUGGUUUUCUUGAGUGAAGUAGUGUUUGCCGGACUUCCGUGUGUCGCGCUGCACUGCGUAGUUCUUCGGA
Molecule: ribosomal RNA, 348 nt
Filed under: uncultured bacterium
Lineage: Bacteria
Description: partial 16S ribosomal RNA
Rfam family: Bacterial small subunit ribosomal RNA
Source: RNAcentral